RNAcentral lists this ribosomal RNA (95 nucleotides) under Fonticella tunisiensis. RNAcentral describes it as "Bacterial large subunit ribosomal RNA". It matches the Rfam family "Bacterial large subunit ribosomal RNA", at positions 2830 to 2925 of the family's 2925-position model. The record is from Rfam by way of RNAcentral. Lineage: Bacteria; Bacillati; Bacillota; Clostridia; Eubacteriales; Clostridiaceae.
AAGACCCCUCAAAGAACAUGAGGUUGAUAGGCCUGAGGUGUAAGCGUCGUGAGGCGUUCAGCUGACAGGUACUAAUAGGUCGAGGGCUUGAUCAA